UACGUAGGGGGCAAGCGUUGUCCGGAAUUAUUGGGCGUAAAGAGCUCGUAGGCGGUCUGUCGCGUCUGCUGUGAAAAUCCAGGGCUCAACCCUGGACCUGCAGUGGGUACGGGCAGACUAGAGUGCGGUAGGGGAGGCUGGAAUUCCUGGUGUAGCGGUGAAAUGCGCAGAUAUCAGGAGGAACACCGGUGGCGAAGGCGGGUCUCUGGGCCGAUACUGACGCUGAGGAGCGAAAGCGUGGGGAGCGAACAGG
This 253-nucleotide ribosomal RNA is filed under the name uncultured bacterium. RNAcentral's name for it is "partial 16S ribosomal RNA". It matches the Rfam family "Bacterial small subunit ribosomal RNA", at positions 524 to 776 of the family's 1533-position model. The record is from RNAcentral.